CAGCCGCCGCGGUAAUACGAAGGUCCCGAGCGUUGUUCGGAAUCACUGGGCGUAAAGGGAGCGUAGGCGGCGUGGUAAGUCAGAUGUGAAAUCCCGGGGCUCAACCCCGGAACUGCAUCCGAUACUGCCAUGCUAGAGGAUUGGAGAGGUAGCUGGAAUUCUUGGUGUAGCAGUGAAAUGCGUGGAGAUCAAGAGGAACACUCGUGGCGAAAGCGAGCUACUGGACAAUAACUGACGCUGAGGCUCGAAGGCCAGGUAGCGAAAGGGAUUAGAUACCCCAGUAGUCCCUGUCUCUUAUACC
This 301-nucleotide ribosomal RNA is filed under the name uncultured bacterium. Its description in RNAcentral is "partial 16S ribosomal RNA". It matches the Rfam family "Bacterial small subunit ribosomal RNA", at positions 509 to 808 of the family's 1533-position model. The record is from RNAcentral.